CCUACGGGAGGCUGCAGUAGGGAAUAUUGCUCAAUGGGGGAAACCCUGAAGCAGCACCGCCCCGUGGAGGUUGAAGGUUUUCGGAUUGUAACUUCCUUUUGUUAGAGAAGAUAUUGACGUUAUCUAACGAAUAACACCCGGCUAAUCCCGUGCCAGCAGCCGCGGUAAUACGGAGGGUGCAAGCGUUACUCGGAUGCACUGGGCGUAAAGAGCGCGUAGGCGGGAUAGCAAGUCAGAUGUGAAAUCCUAUGGCUUAACCAUAGAACUGCAUUUGAAACUGUUAUUCUAGAGUAUGGGAGAGGUAGGUGGAAUUCUUGGUGUAGGGGUAAAAUCCGUAGAGAUCAAGAGGAAUACUCAUUGCGAAGGCGACCUGCUAGAACAUAACUGACGCUGAUGCGCGAAAGCGUGGGGAGCAAACAGGAUUAGAUACCCCUGUAGUC
RNAcentral lists this ribosomal RNA (440 nucleotides) under uncultured bacterium. Its description in RNAcentral is "partial 16S ribosomal RNA". It matches the Rfam family "Bacterial small subunit ribosomal RNA", at positions 338 to 795 of the family's 1533-position model. The record is from RNAcentral.